Molecule: ribosomal RNA, 540 nt
Filed under: uncultured bacterium
Lineage: Bacteria
Description: partial 16S ribosomal RNA
Rfam family: Bacterial small subunit ribosomal RNA
Source: RNAcentral
UGGGGAAUAUUGCACAAUGGGCGCAAGCCUGAUGCAGCCAUGCCGCGUGUGUGAAGAAGGCCUUCGGGUUGUAAAGCACUUUCAGCGAGGAGGAAGGUGGUGAACUUAAUACGUUCAUCAAUUGACGUUACUCGCAGAAGAAGCACCGGCUAACUCCGUGCCAGCAGCCGCGGUAAUACGGAGGGUGCAAGCGCUAAUCGGAAUUACUGGGCGUAAAGCGCACGCAGGCGGUUUGUUAAGUCAGAUGUGAAAUCCCCGGGCUCAACCUGGGAACUGCAUUUGAAACUGGCAAGCUAGAGUCUCGUAGAGGGGGGUAGAAUUCCAGGUGUAGCGGUGAAAUGCGUAGAGAUCUGGAGGAAUACCGGUGGCGAAGGCGGCCCCCUGGACGAAGACUGACGCUCAGGUGCGAAAGCGUGGGGAGCAAACAGGAUUAGAUACCCUGGUAGUCCACGCUGUAAACGAUGUCGAUUUGGAGGUUGUGCCCUUGAGGCGUGGCUUCCGGAGCUAACGCGUUAAAUCGACCGCCUGGGGAGUACGGCC